GUUAUAAAUUGUUAUUAAAUAGCUGUGUAUAUAAUAUGUGAAAUUGUGUUAAUAGUGGUAUAGGCUACUUGUAUACCUAUUAUAGAUAACAAGUGCUUUCUGUGAGUGAAAAAUUGGUUUAACAUCCGAUUUAAUGAAUUACUAAAUUAUUACUGUUACUUCGUGCUAAGGAAGUUCGAGUACUAAUUAUGUAUGUGCGCGUGAUUUCAUGUUAAUGGGAUAAUAAAGAGUAUUGUCGCCUUAUCAACAGGUAUCUACAUUCAUGUAUUUAUGUUUGAAUAUUCAAACAUAUUGUAUACCCUACACAAAUACAGAUAGUGAACAGGUGAAACUAAACUACAUCAAAUACCUCAAAGGGCAAGUUUCUCAUCCAAGUUUCUGUAUGCAUUACUCUUCUUAGACAAUUGACAAUUUGUUUACCACAUAGAGAAAAAAUUACCUAAUUUCAAAUUUAUUUUCGAUUUACAAUAAAUUAUUAGGCCAGAUAAAUAUACAGUGUAUAUAUAACUAAUAUGCUUUGGCGAAAGAUACUGCCAAGGAGUGAUUUAAAAUUAAAAAAUAAAAUCAGUUAACAACUACCGGCACCAUCUGGUCAAAUACGACUCGGACUGAUCUAUAUAAACUAAUAUUAGUGUGAAGUAUGAUCUCGAUAUGUCAAUUCGUGUGUGUUCGCUGUUUGUUUACGAUGCGAAAGGUUUGUCUGCCGAUGGCUUACCAUGGAAAAAUUUGAACAACGAGUGUGCAUAAAAUUUUGUGUUUCCAAUAGAAUCACGGCUACGGAAUAGUUGAAAAUGUUCCGGAACUAUUUUGGAGAAACUACGUUAUCACGAAGACAAGUAUUUUGAUGACAUAAAGCAUUCAGUGAAGAUCGUGAAGUCAUCGAGGAGUCGUCCAUUCACCUCUGUUUAAAAAGGUAAAGAAACAGUGACAGAAACAAGAAAGGAUCGACUCAACACAUUGUGAUUAAUAUUUCGGGCUUGAAGAGGUCGUUAAAGAGAUACUUGCCAAUGUAGCAGGACCCUAUAUUCAUUAAGCAGGAGAGAGAUCGGGGACAAUUACUCCUGGGCCCGAAGUUCUCAGGGGGAUCAGGUGCUCUUCAAUUUUUCUUUACAGAUACUUUUCUCCAAGAAUUCACUACAAUCGGUACCAUAAGGAAUUACCAUCAUUUCAUAACAAAAAUUGCAUGGAAUCAAAUUAUGCUCCUGCAGACUUCUCAGCGGUCAACAUCAAUCGAAAAAAUAUGUUUACAGUUCUGCAUCAAUAUUUCUUCUCGAUGCUUUACCCGAUCAUAAUCAAGUUAUCAUAUACAGGUAAAGAAAUAAAAAAAAAAUGGAUCCACUGCCUCAAGCAUUGUCAUCAACGCACUCUCAUUCUUGAAUAGCUUAAUUUCGUCGUUGCAAUUUUCCAGCUAUGCAUUUACAUGCGCUCUCUUACCUAAUGCGCUAUAAAACCAAAAUUGGCGAAAUGAAAUAAAUAAGAGAAAAAUAAAAUUGCACCAAAAUUGAGCUAACGGCGUAUAUUACAAAAAAAAAAUUUAUAAUAAUAGCAAAAAUUGUCAACCAAACUAGCGAUAGAGCAAUGUCAAUCUGUGCCUUAGCAGAAGAAGCAGAAGCAACGCGGCGGUGUGCAACAGCCGAAAUACGUUGAUAUUUCAAGGACGAAUUUGUAAAAGUCACAUGCAAAAUUUGAUUUGGAAAUCUGCAAACAACUAACAACCAAAAGGAGAAAUGUCAUGCACGGGCAGUAGUUGAGUCGUUGUCGGUGUGGGGGAGUUGCGGCAAAAGUUAAGGUUAUGGCCAUGAAGUUUACGUUCGCCUGGUAGGAUUAUAUGUACAUACAUAUACAUAUAUAUCCAUAUAUAUGUGUUUAUGGGUGCGCCGUUGAAGGUUGAUACGUGCACGCCGCUGUUUGCAGAUUUCGAAAAAAUCAGUUCGGCGCGUCGCUUCACUUCACAUUAAAAGCUGCAUACAAAGUAAUUGGAAGCAUGUUGAAUAUGUGGCUUAGACUCGUUGCUAGUGAGGUAGGCACAGUGUCAAAAACGCACAGAUCACUUGUUAUUCUAUAUUUUUUUUUUGAAAAUUAUUUUAUUUCAUAUUAAGUUAGUAGAUUAAUACAAUAGAUCACAAGGUUCUCAUAACAUAGUGAAUUCAUAAAUGCGCCCAAAAGAGGGCUAAACGUAAAGUUUUUCCCUGGUAACAUAUUUUAGCUAAAAAUAUUACACUGAAACUCGGAUUUGUAGUAUGGUUUAACUAAGAAAUUAAGUCUACUUUAUUAAGAACACAAGUAUUUUGAUGGUAUCAAGCAUUCAGUGAAGAUUGUGAAGUCAUCGAAAACUUGUCUCAAGAGAGUCGUCCUUUCACCAAAAAGGUAAAGAAACAGUGCUUGAAAAUCGUCGUAUUGGCGUCAAAGAGAUAGCUGAGGAUCUUCAAAUCUCUUAUGGAUCGGCUCAACACGUUGUGGUUAAUAUUUCGGGUUUAAAGAGGUCGUUAAAGAGAGAUAGAUGAAAUCAACCUGCAAAUAAAUCGCGUUCACUCGGAUGCUCUUUCUAUACCAGAAAAGAUCAUUUGAGGUCGUUUGACUUUUAACUUUUGUGGUGAUUUAUAAUAACAAUAUAAAUGAGCAAAAUCA
Long non-coding RNA from Bactrocera oleae (olive fruit fly), 2628 nucleotides. RefSeq lists it as uncharacterized. The record is from RefSeq and is a predicted model, not a curated record. Lineage: Eukaryota; Metazoa; Arthropoda; Insecta; Diptera; Tephritidae.